RNAcentral lists this unclassified non-coding RNA (372 nucleotides) under uncultured fungus. RNAcentral's name for it is "partial contains 5.8S ribosomal RNA and internal transcribed spacer 2". The stretch from base 1 to 133 matches the Rfam family "5.8S ribosomal RNA", at positions 22 to 154 of the family's 154-position model. Lineage: Eukaryota; Fungi. The record is from RNAcentral.
UGGCUCUCGCAUCGAUGAAGAACGCAGCGAAAUGCGAUAAGUAAUGUGAAUUGCAGAAUUCAGUGAAUCAUCGAAUCUUUGAACGCACCUUGCGCUCCUUAGUAUUCUGAGGAGCAUGCCUGUUUGAGUGUCAUUAAAUUCUCAAAUCUCAAAAGAUUUUAUCUAAUGAUGAUUUGGAUGUGAGGGUUUGCUGGACUUGAAAGAGAUCAGCUCCCUUUGAAUACAUUAGCUAGACAACGUAACACCGUGAAUUUGGCAUUGGACUGAUAACUAUCAUUGCCAUAGCCUUAGCUGGUGUAGCAGUCUGCUUAUAACCGUCUGCACAGACAACUUUGACAAUUUGGCCUCAAAUCAGGUAGGACUACCCGCUGA